This is a long non-coding RNA of Oncorhynchus masou masou (cherry salmon), 1279 nucleotides long. RefSeq lists it as uncharacterized. The transcript is spliced from 5 exons. NCBI's taxonomy places the organism in Eukaryota, Metazoa, Chordata, Actinopteri, Salmoniformes, Salmonidae. The record is from RefSeq and is a predicted model, not a curated record.
CCUUGCAGAAGGAAUACUCGAUGCAUUGUCUGCUACCUCAACAUUCUCAAAAAUGGAACUACACAAUUCCACCACAUCUCCCAGCUUGCGAGAGUGUGCCCUCGUUAACACAAGCAGGAAAAACAUGGGGAAAUGCUUGAACCAAUUUAUCAUCUGCAGUUUUGAUUUCUGGGUUAUCUACUACUUCUAACACAGGAGUGACGUUACCACCAGUGAUAUUGUUCCCUAGUAGCAAUGGGACUCCUUUUACAGGCAGUGUUGACACUACACCAACAUGGAAACGUCCUGAUACCAAGUCUGACACUAAGUGGACCCAGUGUAAUGGUACAGAGAGCUGUGUUGCUAUGGGAACGGGAACUGUAUGUUCCAUUUUGUUACUCUGCAUCUGCCCCUACUGCCACACCUUCCCUGCAAAUGACUGCCAGGUGAGCCUGAACUUUGCAGCUGAGGCAGAGAGGUUCUGUGCAGCCUUGGAGAGACAGAUCCAACAAGCCCCAGAUUUGGAAAGCAACACACACGUCACAUCACAUUUACAAUAUAAUUAGUUCUCUCAGCUUCAGGCAGGCCAGUCCUCUUCUCUUUCUCCCCUCGUCUCCAAUUCCCCGAUCUCGCUGUCUCACGUCACUCUCUCAUUUUCUCCCCAUAACACUUUAUUUUACUCUUUAUCUCUUGCUGUCUCUCUCCCUCUCUUUUUCAAACAGAGCUAGUGGGCAGACUCAGCUGAACCGUACUGACAGUGUAAACUCUGCCUCAGGCUGUUUGUGUGAACAGGAACAGAGCAGAUCUGGGAUCAGCACUCCAUCUCCAGAUGUGUCAGAACGAGAAAUAUAUAGGCCAACAUCAGCACACUGGAGCUCAGACAGACCCAGAUAAUUCACUAUUAGAUACAUUUUAUGAUGCUGCAUUAGAAUGGAAGAAAAUAUAAAUGGCUGUCUGACUGAUUUAUACUUGUCUCUUAUCCAGACAGUAGUUCCAGGUGGGAGUGGGCCCAGAGCAAGGCCUCAGUUGAGCUGGACCCUGCUCUGAGGAAGCUGCUCAGGAAGGCGGGGAUAAACGAGGAGGAUAUGAAGGACAGACACACCCUCCUCCUAGAGGGGCACACCCUGAGAUGAUCAGAAAGAGCUUUUGAUCAUCUGUGACGCAGUGGUGACCUGUCAUUCAGGGCGGAGCCCCACCUGUUAAGCUUUUUGUUGCCUGUUUUUCGUGUUAUUUUGGCAUUAAUACAUGUCACACAUGUUCGCAAACAAUGUAAAAUAAUCAUUGAGUUAAUAAAGCUACA